CGCACCUGGCUUUAAACCCUCCUCCAACCUGGCAAACAGGGGUGGGGGAGGGGGAGGGGGAGUAAUGGGGGGAAUAAGGUGGUGGAGGGGGUGGGGUGUGGUUGGGGUGGGGAAGGGUGUGGAGGGGAGGGGGAGGGUGAGGAACAAUAAUAAAUACACAGUUUGCCCCCUGGUGCAGCACUCCCUCUUGUCACUGGUAUAUGGAGGAUGAUUCAGAGGGUACUGGUCUUCGUGAGUAGUAAUAGAACGGGCUUUAUUUCUUGAAGCCAACCAGAUUUGGGUCCCCGCUCUUCUCCCAGCGACUUCCCCCACCCAACCCCCCACUCACACAACCCAACCUCACUUUCCUAAAAGAACCCUGACUCUGCGCUAGGCAGCAACAGCGGCGGCAGCGACGGCAAAGUGGUGCAUGGGGCUGUUAAGGCCGAGUAAACUCGUGGGCUCUUGUCCAUGCCCAGAACCGGAGGAAAGGAAGAGCCCCAGGAAGGACCGGGCUGGGGGUGCUCUAGGAAAGAGGUGACUGUGGCAGGUUCCAGUCCAAUUUGUGCGUCCCCUCCUCUGCUGGGCUCCUCGUAGUUCUGUUUGUUGGAGGGGUAAGGAGAGGGAAGCUAUGCUGGGGCAGUUCGGGACGGGAGCAGCCCGUAAAGUGGGAGACUCUUGGCCUUUGAAAAAUCAAAUCAGAUCUGGGGGAACCUUCGAUUAUUCGUGGUGCCCCUAGGAAGGACUAUGCUAAUAGCAAUCUGAUGGAGGAAAUAAAGCCUUUUCUUCUCCUGGAAAAGUGCAGUGGAGCGCGGUGGUGACUAGCUCAGUGCACUCCCGAGAGGCGGGGAGCUGUCCUUAUCAAUUCGAGCUCAUUUCCCCCACCCUGGCCCUGCCCGCUCCCCUGGUUCUCAAACUGUUGGCUGUUCCUUCCGCCACUCAGUUUUGCUAAUCUUGCAAAGAUGCUCUGAAACCUGGCGGAGGUUACCUCCCGCCCCCUAGAAUUUCCAAGCCUUGAAGUUUAGCGCUCUCCACUUGGAUCAGAGUUAGCACCUGGGCUGCUUUAGGUUAGGGGGAGGGUCCCUUGUCCUGGCGUUUCUUUCGCUUGGGCAGAAGGCGCUGUCACUUUAACUCUGGGCUGAGGAGAAAAAGACCCUCUGUGCCCACAUCCCGCUCCAAAGAGCGCUGCUGCUACUGCUGUUGCUGCUGCUGCUGCCGCCGCCGCCGCUGCCGCCGCCGCCGCCGCCGCCGCCGCCGCCGCCACCGCCGCCACUGCCGCUCCCCGUCAGAGGGAUCCCACAGAGACCUGCUCCUUCCAUUGCAGAUCACUCUGUCCUGGCACCGGCACUUGAGCUCCUUCCUUUUGACUAGAGACUGGCUGGCGACUUUGCUGCUGAGCUGAAACUGCUAAUUUCUGUGACCAGCUUUUUUCUUAGCUGUGAUCUGGAUGAAUGAGUAGCUGUCUCACAGAGAUGACAAAAAUAAACUCUAAUCCCCCCCAAAAUUUCCACUACAUCUUUCUCAUGCAUAGAUUUAUGAUCUUCUGUGCAAUAUGCAAACUUUUUGUGUGUGUAUAUUGUACAUGCUGUUGUUUUCAGAUUUCACUCCAUUUGCUUUCUGUUCUUUCCCUUCCCCCCAUGAGAUGGAAACAAUGUCUGAUCUCCACAUAUGAUAUAAUAUUACUUUAUACCGUUUUUGUAUUUAUAGGUUGGGUCUAGUAUAGAUCACACUGAUCCUGGCUUUAGAGGUGGGUGGCUACUAUGUGAAACAGGGGUGGGUGAGAAUAGGGCUGGCAUAAGUGAGAAGCCCUUCCCUUUACAUUUGCUCCCCUGCACUAUUCAAGAUUUAUGAUCUUGUUUGAAGGCAUAUUUUCUCUAUCGUUUUGUCUGGUUAGACAACCGUCUCUGAACUUCACUGUCAGCUCUUCAACAGAUAAGGGUUCAGAAGUCACAUUUUUUUUUUUUAUUGGAAGAUUAGCAUAUUGUCAGAUUUGUCUUUCAGUCUGAGAAUCUUUCUUUGCUUUGUAGGAGUGAGAAUCAAACCACAGGAAAAGCAGCUGCUGUUCCACCAGCAUAACCUUUCAACUUCUGGGCACAUCUGACUGGAAAGGGAGCCAUGGCCAGCUUAGAGUUUUGACUCCAAGCAUUGACAACUAAAACCGGGAGGUUUCUGUCACUUUGGUUCUGCUAUGGACUAAGUGCCUACUCUAUGCAGAUCAAUGUGAUAGACACCAGAGGAGCUACAAUAUCUGGGAGAAGAAGGCUUUUGGAGACUAAUAUUAAUACAGCCAACGGGAUUUCUUGGAUGACCUCCUGAAAUCACAAUGAUUGUGAUUAAUCAAAUUCACAAUGGAAGGAAAAAAACAGGCCAAAGCAUCUUAAUAUAGUCUGACCUUACUUCCAGUAAUCACUGCUAUCCAAUGGCCACUGGGUGGCCUGUGAGAAUUAAAGUGGAAAUAGGUAUACCUCCUAUAAAAUUGUCUUUGAUUAAGCUGGAUAUGUGGUAGUAUGGGUGGAGUAAAAGUUUGGGAGCUAGCCUCAGAGGUAGGAAAACCUUGCUGCAAAGUCCUGUCUCUGACACCUAUUAGCUUUUUGUCCAAAGGAAAAUUAACCUUUCCAUGUCCUAGUUAAUCCUAUAUUUCAGAAAAGGAUAUGAAGAAUUUCAUCACUGGGUGUUGUCCAUAGACCCAAUCUGUAAUUCAAUUUCUAAUCACUAAAUAAAAAUGCACUUUAAUGUGUAAACUUGCUAGGAAGUUGCUGGGCUCUUCCCACCAGCAUAACCCUAGGACCCAGAACAGGAUUUUGUUCUUUAUUCCUUAGCUUCAGGCAUAGUUUGAAAUACCUUUUUGUACUCUUAGAUGAGUCAGUUCAAAGUCAAUGCCCAACUACUCUCCUACUCUAACGCUGUUAGAGAAAACAUUCUAAACUCCAUAAUCCACAAUCUUCUCUUAUAAUCAAUUACCCAAUUACACUUAUUAUAUAAGUGACACUAGGGCUCUGCUGCAUCAUGCUAGGAGAUGGAUUAUUCUUUGCUAAGAUAUGGAUGAGAGCUUUCAAAAGAAUCCAGACUCAAGUAAGGCAUGAUCUUUAGCUAAAGCUUAAAUGGGAGGUUUUGGUAUUUUUAAGAUAUAGUUAUCUUUUCCCCAUCCACUUCUAAUAUAUCAUUGAAUUCUUGAAUUCCUCCAUUCACUCUCAGAAAGUGUCUGCUUCAGUCCAGGUCAGUGAAAUACCAAUUCUCCUCAAAUCAUCAGUUUCAAGUUGGUCAAUUACCCACAUAUUUAUAAGUUAUUUAGUCUCUUUCCUCUUUUCUCUGGUGAACUUUCAUCCAUUGCUAGCCACAAGCUAAGAUCUAAGACGUAUCCUUGAUGAUUUGACUUUUCAUAUUUUUAAACUUUGGGUUUCUUUGUAUGUCCCUGUGAUCCGUCUCAUUAUAGCAUCCUCCCUGGCUUCCAUAUUAGGGUGUCAAAUUUCUGUAAAGACCAAACAAUUUGUGUUAAGUUAUUACAUUGUUCUUGUAGAAUCAAUUAGCCUGCAAUGGUGCUUUCACUGUUUUUGCCAAACCAAUUCAAGAUAUUUGGUGGAAUGUAAAUGUCAUAGAUUCUCUACAAUUUAUAAAAUCUUGCUUCUGAAAGAAAACUCAGAAAAUAUAAUAGUCUCUCUCAUUCAUCAGGUUUUACAAUUUUCUCAUAAAAACCCUUUGGAAUAGUGCAAGAUUAUUGUUAUUAUUUUACAAAUUAGAAAACUGAAGUUAAGA
This is an RNA transcript of Antechinus flavipes (yellow-footed antechinus), 3732 nucleotides long. It is a transcript of the gene named cyclic AMP-dependent transcription factor ATF-5-like, with no coding region annotated. The record is from RefSeq and is a predicted model, not a curated record. The transcript has 5 exons. NCBI's taxonomy places the organism in Eukaryota, Metazoa, Chordata, Mammalia, Dasyuromorphia, Dasyuridae.